RNAcentral lists this ribosomal RNA (1247 nucleotides) under Ascomycota sp. L486. Its description in RNAcentral is "eukaryotic LSU rRNA". The stretch from base 573 to 1247 matches the Rfam family "Eukaryotic large subunit ribosomal RNA", at positions 1 to 568 of the family's 3401-position model. Lineage: Eukaryota; Fungi; Ascomycota. The record is from RNAcentral.
UUUUUCUUUUAAAGAAGAAAAAGUGACCAAUUUGUCCCGAGGUGAACAGCGGAGGGAUCAUUACAGAAGUUGCAAAACUCCCUAAAGCCCACUGUAAAUCCUCCCUUGAUGUGUUGCUUCGGCAGGCGGCCCUCAGGGCGGGGCCAUGGCCUUCUGGUGCCUGCCGACAAGCCCACUGAAACUCCUUUUACUACGGCUGUCUGAGUGCCUGAAAAAAAAUCAAAACUUUCAUACAACGGAUCUCUUGGUUCUGGCAUCGUAUGAAGAACGCAGCAGAAAUGCUGAUAAGUAAUGUGAAUUGCAGAAUUCAGCGAAUUCAUCGAAUUCUUUUGAAGACGCACAUUGCGCCCGCCAGUUAUUCUGGCGGGCAUGCCUGUUCGAGCGUCAUUUCUAACCCUCAGGCUGUCAUUCUGCCUGAGUGUUGGGGUACUACAGCACCUGUAGGCCCUGAAAAUCAGUGGCGGGCUCGCCCGGACCCCGAGCGUAGUAGACUACUAUUUCUCGCCCAGGGCGUUCUGGUGGGUUGCCCGGCCAGUAAAACCUCGCUGUCUCGGAGAGACACACACCAAGGUUGACCUCGGAUCAGGUAGGAAUACCCGCUGAACUUAAGCAUAUCAAUAAGCGGAGGAAAAGAAACCAACAGGGAUUGCCCCAGUAACGGCGAGUGAAGCGGCAACAGCUCAAAUUUGAAAUCUGGCCCUGGGCCCGAGUUGUAAUUUGUAGAGGAUGCUUUUGGUGCGGUGCCUUCUGAGUUCCCUGGAACGGGACGCCGUAGAGGGUGAGAGCCCCGUACAGUUGGACACCAAGCCUCUGUAAAGCUCCUUCCGACGAGUCGAGUAGUUUGGGAAUGCUGCUCAAAAUGGGAGGUAAACUUCUUCUAAAGCUAAAUUACCGGCCAGAGACCGAUAGCGCACAAGUAGAGUGAUCCAAAGAUGAAAACCACUUUUGAAAAAGGGUUAAACAGCACGUGGAAAUUUAUUGAAAGGGAAUGCACUCGUGACCAGACUUGGCCCCUGUGAAUUCAUCCAGGCGUUUUCCGCUGGUUCAUUUUCGCUUGGUUCCAGGGCACACGCAUCGGUUACUGCCCACGGGGGAUAAAAGACGCGGGGAACGUACGCUCCCUCCCAGGAGGUGUUAUAGGCCCGUCUCGUAGGAAAUGUCCUGCUGGGGGGAGCACGAAGUUUCGUCGCCGCUGCAAGGAAUUGGUGCGUAAAUGGUUAUCCCCGGCCGCUUUUUAAAGGGAAAAA